Long non-coding RNA from Saccostrea cuccullata (small rock oyster), 687 nucleotides. RefSeq lists it as uncharacterized. The transcript has 3 exons. The record is from RefSeq and is a predicted model, not a curated record. NCBI's taxonomy places the organism in Eukaryota, Metazoa, Mollusca, Bivalvia, Ostreida, Ostreidae.
AGUCUCUAAGUCUCAUGGUUCAAAAGUUAUGGCGAAGGUUAAAGUUGACAACAGACAAACAAACAGACAGACAUACAGCUAAACAGACAAACAGGACAAAAACAAUAUGCGCCCCCAAAAAAUUUGGGUGCAUAAAAACUGUCUUGGAGUUAACAGCAGUUCUCUGUUUCUCCUGAAUGUUAUGUACAAUUUGAUCGGGAUCGGAAGAAUGUUUCAAAAAGUCGGGCUCAGUGAUCAAUUAAUUUAAACAACAGACCGCCAAAAUUUAACCUUGGCCUCCAUGUUGCAACGUCUGCUCUGUCUAAAGGAAGAAGUUUGUUGACCAGACAGCCUGAGAUCGUAUUGCUGUAUCAACCAAAAGAUGCAGAUACACGUAUUUCAUAUGCGCGUCUGUGCAUGAGGAGGAGAUUUCUGAAAAAGAAUAAGUGCUUAUUCAACUUACUGCGAUUUUAACGGGCUUAAAGCUUGGUCCAUGGAUGGUUAUGUUUGAGGAUUUGACAAUUCGACUGCAAGUGCUGCUGCAAGAAAUUAAACAUGCAGAGACCUUACAAAUUACAAAGAAGUCUGAAGAAAAUUUUUAUUGGACAGAUGGGUGUAAAGCACAGACCUGAGAUAUAAAUUGAAUUGUGAGAAAUAUGAAUCAGGGAUGCAGGUAGAAAAUGGCAAAUGUGAUCCAGAUUGAUAAAA